AAAGCUCGUAGUUGAACCUUGGGCCUGGCUGGCCGGUCCGCCUCACCGCGUGUACUGGUCCGGCCGGGCCUUUCCCUCUGUGGAACCCCAUGCCCUUCACUGGGUGUGGCGGGGAAACAGGACUUUUACUUUGAAAAAAUUAGAGUGCUCCAGGCAGGCCUAUGCUCGAAUACAUUAGCAUGGAAUAAUAGAAUAGGACGUGUGGUUCUAUUUUGUUGGUUUCUAGGACCGCCGUAAUGAUUAAUAGGGACAGUCGGGGGCAUCAGUAUUCAAUUGUCAGAGGUGAAAUUCUUGGAUUUAUUGAAGACUAACUACUGCGAAAGCAUUUGCCAAGGAUGUUUUCAUUAAUCAGGAACGAAAGUUAGGGGAUCGAAGACGAUCAGAUACCGUCGUAGUCUUAACCAUAAACUAUGCCGACUAGGGAUCGGACGAUGUUACUUAUUGACUCGUUCGGCACCUA
RNAcentral lists this ribosomal RNA (460 nucleotides) under uncultured Myrothecium. RNAcentral describes it as "SSU rRNA". It matches the Rfam family "Eukaryotic small subunit ribosomal RNA", at positions 623 to 1089 of the family's 1831-position model. Lineage: Eukaryota; Fungi; Ascomycota; Sordariomycetes; Hypocreales. The record is from RNAcentral.